Molecule: long non-coding RNA, 230 nt
Filed under: Elaeis guineensis (African oil palm)
Lineage: Eukaryota; Viridiplantae; Streptophyta; Magnoliopsida; Arecales; Arecaceae
Description: long non-coding RNA (EGUI_LNC040135)
Source: RNAcentral
AAUAGCCACUUUUAGUUCCAUUAGAUCUUCGAGAACAGUGCACUCUACAACGAAGUUGGCCAAAGCUUGAGCUUUAAUGGAAGGUCGAGGUUUGAAUUCUACUCCAUACUUCAUGAGUUCAAUUGCCUAUUUUGCUAAUCAUCCGAAAGUAUCAGCAUGAUUUAAUGUUGCCCUCAAAGGUUGAUCAGUCACAACUACGAUCGAAUGUACCUAAAAAUAUGGCUAGAGCC